RNAcentral lists this long non-coding RNA (1228 nucleotides) under Mus spicilegus (steppe mouse). RNAcentral describes it as "lncRNA (ENSMSIG00000020058.1)". The record is from RNAcentral. Lineage: Eukaryota; Metazoa; Chordata; Mammalia; Rodentia; Muridae.
CUGGGAGAUAGUGAGAGGCGAGCGAGAUUUGCUAGGGAAGACUGAGUUGAGUUAACCAGCAGGUAGCUCAACUUAAGACAGAGUAAAGAGAUUCGCCCUGGAUUUACAGGCAUGAAGCUGAGGAGAGGUAACUAACCACGUGGAAGAUAUAGAAUAGUUUGAAUGGGUUAAAUAAGUUAUGAGCUAGUUGGGGGAUGAGCCAGAGCUUAUGGCCGAGGAAUUUAUUAAUAAAUAGUCUUCAAGUUGUCAUUCUAGGAGAAAUGGCUUAUAGUCUUAGAGGACAAAUUCAUCAUAGUUCAUAGGGAAAUCCUGGCAGAGUGUCUUAAUCUGGGAAUAGGAGCUCACAGCUGUCCCUCCUCAGAUGUUGAUGGACUAGGGAAUAGACAGGAUUGGAGCAACUCUCAAGGUUGCCUACUAAUACUCUAUAUCCACCAGCCAGGUCCUGCGUCCUAAAAGCUCUAGAAGCUCCUCAAAUCCCACCCAUGGAGCAAGUAUUCCAACCCACAAGCCCGUGGUAGGCAUUUAACAUUUAAACCCCAAUGUGUCUCUAGGGUUGGAAUCUUUACAGCAAAUUCAAGUAUCUGCUCUUUAUGUAUGGGUGUGGCUCCUCCUAGUUCACCUUGUUCCAGCACACACCUGUGAUGUGUAAAUAACUUUCCUGGGAGAAUUGCAAACAUAGAGAGGAAGAAGUGUCCUAAGAAUGUUCGUACUUCAAGGUCGGUGUCAUGGUUUCAGUUCAUUUGAGCAGAACAGAAGUCAUAUGCCACGAGUCUGUUCAGAGUCAAUCGUCUUCCUGGUCAUGGACCACACGUGUUGUUUACCUGACAUCCUGACAAGAGACAGAAGUGAGCGUAAUGGAAAGACUCGUGUCCAUAUCGCUAUGCAGUGAGCUACAGAACAUCCAGGAACCCUAUCUCUGAUUGACUAGCAAUUUAGCAAAGGAAGCUGAAGGUUGGUUUGACUACAGUUUGCUGUAUUGUGUCCCUUCUACUCCUGUUGCUUCAUACUUUACUUGGGAGUUAUGAGUCGUCAUUCAACAGGAAAGAAGAGAGAAGGCGAAGCAAACGAGUGACUCUAAAAUUUGUACAAGAGAGGAAAAUCAGAGGCUUAUUAAAUUUGAAAGGGUACGCCUUUGAAUAAUUUAUUCAUAAAAUUUAAUUUGCGUGAGAUUUUUUUAUGGCAAGGCGGCACGCUGGCUGUAAAACCUGAAAUAAAAGCAGCAAACUGC